GCUAUACUUCUCAGGUAUCAGGAAAGCUGGGAGCACUUGUUGUAACAGCAGCUGUGAUGCAUUGCCAUCAACACCACCCACAUUUGCCGAACUGUCCUAGGAAGGCAUGGUGUUCCUGCCCAAUUAAAAUGGCCGGCCAUAGGGAGGAAUGAAAACUCAGGGGAGGCUUUGGGAAAACGCAAGUCAUCCCAGACGGAACGUACGGCUUCUUUACAGGAGGCUCUAUGACAAAAGAAAGAAGACAGCCAAGGCUGCCAGGAUCUUCCUGAGCAGAAGCCGCUUCCUGAUGUUCUUCACAAGAAAUAGGCAGAGCGGGCUAUCCUCCUUUAUGUCCAGACAGAUUGAGGUUCGUUUCCCAGCAUCUCCAGGGACACCAUCUUUUUGGAGCUCCAGAUUUUGCCUACCGUAUCCUGACUCUGGCUGUGACUUGCCUGCUGUGUAUGAUGUUGGAUCGAGUUGAGUGUGUUGCUUAGACUCUCUCUGCCUGUUUGCUCUUACCGCCUGACUGUCUUGACUCUCGACUGUUCUUGGACUUCGGUUUUGGAUCUGCCUUGGCUGCUUCACCCAACUUGCUGGUGACGUUGCCUCCUCCUCACUUUGAAGGACCAUCUAGGCCAGGCCAGAUUGAAACAGAACAAACCACAGGAAGGGAGAGCAGAGGACGAGUCUUGGAACAGCUUGUCCAGAAGCAACAGAAGCUGGGCAGCAAUCAGCAGCCGAUUUAACAGGUGCUGCUUUUCAACGGACAACCUGAGUUGGCCCAGAACUUGAGGUGCCCAACCCUAGCGGUAUUUCUGUAACAAAGAAGACGCACACAUGCAGUGUGGCAGAGUGGUUAAAAUGCUGGACCAGCGAGAGGAAGACCUUUGGCCACAAACCUCGCUGCGUGACCAUGGGCCAGUUAUACAUUUCCAGCCUGCUGUAGCUUCCUGGAUUGUUGUAAUAAUACAGUGAGGAUGGAUGAGAACUGUGGAUGGUGCCUCAGGUUCUCUGAAGAAGAAGCAGGGUAGAUAUACAAGAAAUAAAUAAUGAAGCCUCACUGGGAGUAAGUUAUGCUUCAUGGCUGCCAUGCUUAUAUUUAUUUAUUUUAAAUGGUUUUGUACUUGAGAUCAAGCCCCAAUGGGAUCUACUUCUGAGUUGGAUAGAAGUGUGUUUUUUUUCUUGGAGGGUGCCCAUGUGUAAAAUCAUGAGGACUAGAGCCUAUUUUAAAAACCAAAUCUAGGGCUCUUCUCGGUCUUCUGCUGAAAGCACGUCAGCAGAGCUGCCUUUAGAUCGCAAUGCAGUGAAAGUACGCGCCAUGGCUUGGGAAGCAGAAUUCAGCUUCUUGAAUAUCAAGGCCUCCAUUUGAGCCAAGUUGCUAGUCCUUAUGUUUGUAAUGCAACACUUAUGAUGCUUGUGGGCCGCAACUGCUCCUCAGAAGCGAGAAAAGCUGCUGAACAAGCUUGCCAGUGGUUUGGGGUGGGGCUUCAUCUGUGCCUCGUUAUGCUCAACUAGCAAAGCCAAGGGAAAAGAAUGCAAAACAGUGAGUUGUACCAUUUCUUUCCACCUGGUAUGAAAGAUAGCAAGACCUCAGAAACUACUCUUGUGUUUAUAUUUCUACUACAGAGCCUUGAAAGCAUAUAGUUUUCACGAUCACUGGAGGUGAUUCUACUGUUUCUUUCCUUGGUCGUAUUGAGCAAUCUUUUCCUUUUCAUGCCCAAAGAAUGCAACAUCUGUUAUAUGGAAUCUGAUGAGUCUUUUAUUGCUGUUGCCAAUUUAUGACAAACAGCUAAAUAUCUGCAAGCUUUCGCCACUGUGGUUUUCUGACAUUGGCCAGGCCAUGUAGAGUUUGCAGUUCAUUGUAUCUGAAGUAGUUUGGUUACACCCAGACUGAAAGCAUGCCCAAUGCACGGGCAUGUUGGCUGGGGAAUUCUGGGAGAUGUAGUCCCCUCCAAACAAACAAACAAACAAAAAACAACCAUCCCUAGCUCUGGGAUGAACUGUAGUGUAAGGAUGCAGAAGCAAUUUAGUGUAAAAUGAACAGAUAGUAUAGCAUGGUUGUUCUAGAAAUCAGUGCAAAAAUAUUUCAACGGCUCCUAGCUGUUUUGUGCAAACUGUGGGGGAGUUUGAACAUUGGCUGCUGGAAAGAGCCUUCCCUCAACAGCAGGGCAGCUGGAUAAUUUUAGACGAUUGAUGGGAGGUGUGCAAUCCG
This is a non-coding RNA of Pogona vitticeps (central bearded dragon), 2191 nucleotides long. The record is from RefSeq and is a predicted model, not a curated record. Lineage: Eukaryota; Metazoa; Chordata; Lepidosauria; Squamata; Agamidae.